GGUGAAAAUUUGAUGACCCCCACAGCAGACAAACAACGGCGAAAGCAUUCAUCAAUUACUUCUUCUUUAAUCAAGAACGAAAGUUAGAGUAGCAAAGGCCAUUAGAUGCAGCUGUAGUUUUAACCAUAAACGAUGACAUCUCAGGAUAUCAUUGAUGGGGUUUUCUGUAUACUCGUUCGUCGCCAUUCCUUUUACCGGGGGUGGUGCGCGGCGAGUGUAUAAACUCACAAACCCCUUGUACGCUUGAUACACAGGAGUAAUCUUGUAUAUCGCCAAGUCCAAUGACGCACUGUGUGGGAAACCAACAAGCUGCCUUCGUGGAGUGUAUUUUGGCAACGAAGAAAUUUAAAAGAAUUGACGGAAGUAUCACCACCAGGAGUGGAUCGUGCGGCUUAAUUUGACUCAACGCGGGAAAUCUCACCAGAGCCGAACACCGUGAGGAAAGACAGACUGCAGCUCUUUCUUGAUUCUGUGAUUGUCAAAUGUAGUGCAUGGCCUUUGGGAAGUGGGUACUGUGAAGUCGCUCAUUAAUUUAGAUAACCAGCGAGACCUCAUCCUUGAUCUCGUCGAUUCCGGCAAGCAAUUGUCGCGGCGAGAUGUUGUAAAUACAUGUCGAGUGGGCUUGUCCUACCCGGGAAGUAUUCUUUACCGAAUAUGCAUGUUCUUAAAGGAACUACUGGUGUUUUAACCAGGGGAAGCUUGAGGCGAUAAAAGGUCCGUGAUGCUCUCAGAUGUUCUGGGCCGCUCGCGCGCUACACUGCUUUGAUCAGAAAGUUUUUUGUACAUUUCGAUUUUGUUUGCCUGGGUUAAACUGGGUGGACCGGAAUUACACCUUGCUCGAGAGGGCCGGGAACUCUUGGAAAUCGAACUGUGCUAAGGAUAGACGAUUGUAAUUAUUUGUCUUGAAUGAGGAAUUCCUAGUAAAUGCAAGUCAUCAACUUGCGUUGAAUACGUUUCUGGUCUUUGUACACACCGCCCGUCGCUGUUACCGAUUGGAUGGCUCAAUGAGUAGCAAGGAGGUUGUCUUUGAGAUGAUUGAAUUGCCUCGAAUCGUGUCAUCUAGAGAAGCAAAGUC
This 1075-nucleotide ribosomal RNA is filed under the name Rosculus elongata. RNAcentral's name for it is "partial 18S ribosomal RNA". It matches the Rfam family "Eukaryotic small subunit ribosomal RNA", at positions 910 to 1790 of the family's 1831-position model. The record is from RNAcentral. Lineage: Eukaryota; Cercozoa; Guttulinopsidae.